This 403-nucleotide ribosomal RNA is filed under the name bacterium. RNAcentral describes it as "partial 16S ribosomal RNA". It matches the Rfam family "Bacterial small subunit ribosomal RNA", at positions 355 to 776 of the family's 1533-position model. The record is from RNAcentral.
UGGGGAAUAUUGCACAAUGGAGGGAACUCUGAUGCAGCGACGCCGCGUGAACGAAGAAGGCUUUCGAGUCGUAAAGUUCUUUUAUAUGGGAAGAUAAUGACGGUACCAUAAGAAAAAGCCACGGCUAACUACGUGACAGCAGCCGCGGUAAUACGUAGGGGGCUAGCGUUGUCCGGAAUCACUGGGCGUAAAGGGUUCGCAGGCGGAAGGGCAAGUCAGGUGUAAAAGGCAGUAGCUUAACUACUGUAAGCAUUUGAAACUGCAUAUCUUGAGAGGAGUAGAGGUAAGUGGAAUUUUUAGUGUAGCGGUGAAAUGCGUAGAUAUUAAAAAGAAUACCGGUGGCGAAGGCGGCUUACUGGGCUCAUUCUGACGCUGAGGAACGAAAGCGUGGGUAGCAAACAGG